ACGGAGGAUCCAAGCGUUAUCCGGAUUUAUUGGGUUUAAAGGGUGCGCAGGCGGACUAAUAAGUCAGAGGUGAAAUCUACAUGCUUAACAUGUAAUGUGCCAUUGAUACUGUUUGACUAGUAUGCAAAUGACGUAGCUGGAAUGUGUUAUGUAGCGGUGAAAAUCGUAGAAAUUACGCGGGACACCGGGGGCGAAGGCAACUUACUGAAUUUGUAUAGACGCUGAUACGCGAAAGCGUGGGGAUCAAACAG
RNAcentral lists this ribosomal RNA (251 nucleotides) under uncultured prokaryote. RNAcentral's name for it is "partial 16S rRNA". It matches the Rfam family "Bacterial small subunit ribosomal RNA", at positions 525 to 775 of the family's 1533-position model. The record is from RNAcentral.